Molecule: long non-coding RNA, 1365 nt
Organism: Peromyscus eremicus (cactus mouse)
Lineage: Eukaryota; Metazoa; Chordata; Mammalia; Rodentia; Cricetidae
Exons: 4
Source: RefSeq, a predicted model, not a curated record
UCUUAUUGGCCAACAAUUGCAGACUCUGCACUGGGUGGAACAUUGCACCAGCUUGAGGAGAACAAGAAAAAACACCACUGACUCCCCAACCCCCCACUAACCAACAAGAGUGAGCCUGACUGGAGCUGCCUACAGUGUUGUCCUAGUGAGGAACCGCCUGGGAAAAGGGUUCCUCUCUUACCAAGUUUCUGGCUUUGAGUUCUUUCCAUCUUUGUGAUGUUUCACAUACUGUGAGUAACGGAGGAGAAAGAAGAGAUGAACUCAGUGAUAACAGUCUCAUGGUGUGGAGCUCAGGAGAUAGCUUGGUGGGUAAAACCUUGCAAACAUGAAAACCUGAGUUAAAUCCCCAGAAUCCAUGUAAAACAAAACAAAACUAUUGGCUUGGCAAGAUACACCCAUGGGCGCAAACAUGACAUUUCUGUAAAGCGGGUUCCUGCUCUGACUUCCUUCACAAUGGACUGUGAUUGGGACAGGCAGAAGAUGGACAAGAGGAAGCAGAGCCUGUGGGAACACCUUGCACACCUUCUCUGUGGGCCUUAGUAACAGCUGUAGAAAUAUAGUCUCCAGACCUCAGCUUCCUUAAAGAAUGGAGCAAUGUUACUCCUGAGACUUGAUGUGAAUACCGUGUGUGUGUGUGUGUGUGUGUGUGUGUGUGUGUGUGUGUGUGUGUGUUAUCUGUGCCCCCAAGCCAUCACCAGCCUCACAGAAGGCUGAUUGGCUUCUACUUUGGCAUUUGGAGGGCUCAGGACAGGACAUGGAAGGGAUGGAGCAGUGCCUUAGGGGACAAAGAGCGAGGGUACACAGCAGACACAAGAUUCUGAAGGUCAUUGUGCUUUAUCCAUUGAAAUAUUCAUGCCCAAGCUGGAUUCACCCUGUAAAGAUAAGUCUUAUUUGUGGAACACCCAUUUUAGGGCUGUAGUGGCAAAGCCCUGGCAUUAUCAGGAGUGGUGGGAGGCACAGGUGUACAUUAUGAAGCCCAAUAUAUAGGUGACCUGCAGCGUCAGAUCCGGGGGAAGAAACACAGAAUGGUUUUUGCCUUUUAGGCAAUCUAUUCAGAUCUUUCCUUAAGCUGUGAAAUAUAUAUCCUUCCUAACAGGCUUUUCCCCUGCUGGUGAGAGUAGCCCAUCCACUUUGGAGAGGCCCUCAUUUCUAAACAAAACCGCUAAAGGACCUUAAUUGAGAUCAUUUCAAUAUGUUAAUACAUCGAUUCCUUUCUCCAGUGCAUCCGAGCUUGGGCCUGAAGCGCGCCUCGCCACUCUGCAUGCACCAGCUCUCCACACCCGAGGCUUAUCACAAGCAAUUAUCUUACCCAAAUAAAAAAUGAAAAUGGAAAAGUUAAAUAAAUAGCAGGACACCUUGAUGGAA